GAUGCAAACUGCGAAUACCGGAGAAUGUUAUCACGGGAGACACACGGCGGGUGCUAACGUCCGUCGUGAAGAGGGAAACAACCCAGACCGCCAGCUAAGGUCCCAAAGUCAUGGUUAAGUGGGAAACGAUGUGGGAAGGCCCAGACAGCCAGGAUGUUGGCUUAGAAGCAGCCAUCAUUUAAAGAAAGCGUAAUAGCUCACUGGUCGAGUCGGCCUGCGCGGAAGAUGUAACGGGGCUAAACCAUGCACCGAAGCUGCGGCAGCGACACUAUGUGUUGUUGGGUAGGGGAGCGUUCUGUAAGCCUGUGAAGGUGGCCUGUGAGGGUUGCUGGAGGUAUCAGAAGUGCGAAUGCUGACAUAAGUAACGAUAAAGCGGGUGAAAAGCCCGCUCGCCGGAAGACCAAGGGUUCCUGUCCAACGUUAAUCGGGGCAGGGUGAGUCGACCCCUAAGGCGAGGCCGAAAGGCGUAGUCGAUGGGAAACAGGUUAAUAUUCCUGUACUUGGUGUUACUGCGAAGGGGGGACGGAGAAGGCUAUGUUGGCCGGGCGACGGUUGUCCCGGUUUAAGCGUGUAGGCUGGUUUUCCAGGCAAAUCCGGAAAACCAAGGCUGAGGCGUGAUGACGAGGCACUACGGUGCUGAAGCGACAAAUGCCCUGCUUCCAGGAAAAGCCUCUAAGCAUCAGGUAACAUCAAAUCGUACCCCAAACCGACACAGGUGGUCAGGUAGAGAAUACCAAGGCGCUUGAGAGAACUCGGGUGAAGGAACUAGGCAAAAUGGUGCCGUAACUUCGGGAGAAGGCACGCUGAUAUGUAGGUGAAGCGACUUGCUCGUGGAGCUGAAAUCAGUCGAAGAUACCAGCUGGCUGCAACUGUUUAUUAAAAACACAGCACUGUGCAAACACGAAAGUGGACGUAUACGGUGUGACGCCUGCCCGGUGCCGGAAGGUUAAUUGAUGGGGUUAGCGGUAACGCGAAGCUCUUGAUCGAAGCCCCGGUAAACGGCGGCCGUAACUAUAACGGUCCUAAGGUAGCGAAAUUCCUUGUCGGGUAAGUUCCGACCUGCACGAAUGGCGUAAUGAUGGCCAGGCUGUCUCCACCCGAGACUCAGUGAAAUUGAACUCGCUGUGAAGAUGCAGUGUACCCGCGGCAAGACGGAAAGACCCCGUGAACCUUUACUAUAGCUUGACACUGAACAUUGAGCCUUGAUGUGUAGGAUAGGUGGGAGGCUUUGAAGUGUGGACGCCAGUCUGCAUGGAGCCGACCUUGAAAUACCACCCUUUAAUGUUUGAUGUUCUAACGUUGGCCCGUAAUCCGGGUUGCGGACAGUGUCUGGUGGGUAGUUUGACUGGGGCGGUCUCCUCCUAAAGAGUAACGGAGGAGCACGAAGGUUGGCUAAUCCUGGUCGGACAUCAGGAGGUUAGUGCAAUGGCAUAAGCCAGCUUGACUGCGAGCGUGACGGCGCGAGCAGGUGCGAAAGCAGGUCAUAGUGAUCCGGUGGUUCUGAAUGGAAGGGCCAUCGCUCAACGGAUAAAAGGUACUCCGGGGAUAACAGGCUGAUACCGCCCAAGAGUUCAUAUCGACGGCGGUGUUUGGCACCUCGAUGUCGGCUCAUCACAUCCUGGGGCUGAAGUAGGUCCCAAGGGUAUGGCUGUUCGCCAUUUAAAGUGGUACGCGAGCUGGGUUUAGAACGUCGUGAGACAGUUCGGUCCCUAUCUGCCGUGGGCGCUGGAGAACUGAGGGGGGCUGCUCCUAGUACGAGAGGACCGGAGUGGACGCAUCACUGGUGUUCGGGUUGUCAUGCCAAUGGCACUGCCCGGU
RNAcentral lists this ribosomal RNA (1818 nucleotides) under Escherichia coli. Its description in RNAcentral is "partial 23S ribosomal RNA". It matches the Rfam family "Bacterial large subunit ribosomal RNA", at positions 946 to 2746 of the family's 2925-position model. Lineage: Bacteria; Pseudomonadati; Pseudomonadota; Gammaproteobacteria; Enterobacterales; Enterobacteriaceae. The record is from RNAcentral.